CGGGACCCGCGCCGUUGCGGUGGUCAUUCACAGAAUCAAAAUGGUUGAAGCAGAUCGUCCUGGGAAGCUGUUCAUUGGGGGCCUGAACACAGAGACUAAUGAAAAAGCCCUUGAGGCUGUAUUCGGCAAAUAUGGACGCAUUGUGGAAGUCCUUUUGAUGAAAGAUCGGGAAACAAACAAGUCCAGAGGAUUUGCAUUCGUCACGUUUGAGAGUCCAGCAGAUGCAAAAGAUGCUGCCAGAGAUAUGAAUGGAAAGUCAUUAGAUGGGAAGGCAAUUAAAGUGGAACAAGCAACCAAGCCAUCCUUUGAAAGUGGUGGUAGGCGUGGGCCACCACCCCCUCCCCGAAGCAGAGGUCCUCCCAGGGGCCUUAGAGGCGCAAGAGGCGGAAGUGGCGCGAGAGGACCACCUUCAAGAGGGAGUCACUUGGGGUCUUCUCGAGGGCCACUUCCCAUGAAGAGGGGUCCACCUCCACGAAGUGGAGGCCCUCCACCUAAAAGGUCUGCACCUUCAGGACCAGUGCGUAGCAGUAGCAUGGGAGGAAGAGCUCCUGUGUCACGUGGAAGAGAUGGCUACGGUGGUCCUCCGCGCAGAGAGCCGAUGCCAUCACGGAGAGAUGUCUACAUGUCUCCAAGAGAUGAUGGCUAUAGCACUAAAGACGGUUAUUCAAGCAGAGAUUAUCCCAGUUCCAGGGAUACCCGGGACUACGCACCACCUCCCCGCGACUACGCAUAUCGUGAUUAUGGUCAUUCCAGUUCACGUGAUGAAUACCCCUCCAGGGGAUAUAGUGAUCGUGAUGGAUACGGUGGUGGGCGUGACAGGGACUACUCGGAUCAUCCAAGUGGAGGCUCCUACAGAGAUUCAUAUGAGAGUUACGGGGGAUAACUUCUGAAAGAUACUGCUGAAAAUAGUGCUGGUUCAUCUGUUGACGGCAGACGUGGUGCCUGUGCCAAUACAUGAGUUACGGUGCCUAGAAGGUGGCCAUGCAGCAGUGGAUGUGCAUUGGAAAAUCAAGGCAUAACAAAUCACAACUGAUACAGCCUGCCUUUUGGGUGUAGUGUUGCCCACCGUUUCUAGAGGAAUGUGUAAGCAUUCAGGAGUUGCCUUUGAAAGUAGCACUACGGAUCUCUUGGACAUAGAUAAAAUUUCUGGUGGGAGCCAGCCGCUGUCUGCCAUAGCUCACACCGUCCAGCAGCUAUGAGUGAGCUGCUUCGUUGCACACACGUUCUGCAGUGGUGAAAUACUUUGUUUGCCUUUUACGUGUGCUUGCUCUUUUUGCUGAUGAAAAGAGCAAGUUACACAGAAGCGAGUCUUAGUCCACCUGAAUACAGAGGACUUCACCAAGGAUCCACGGAAAGUUCUGCUAUAUUACAUUUACAGUUUUGUCCUAACCUUCUGGAUGAGAGGAUGGGAGUGUUGGUGUAUUGAGACAAUGUUAGUGAUGAAUGGCCAGAAUAAUUGGUGUUCCUCUAUGUACACUGGACAGUGUAGUACAUCUCUUGGGAGUAGGUGCUUUGUUCAAAACUUUGUCUUGAUUUUCAUGCAUUUUUCUCUUACAUACAUGUUGAUGGGCCUGUGUAUGUGAGAGGAAUCAUCAGGCAUUGGUACUUCAUGUAGAAAACUCAUAAACAAUCAUGGAUAAUAAAAUUUAUACUGACUUCUGUGAUAGACGUAAACUGAUCUCAUUUAAACAAUGCUCAGUUCAUAAUGAGUAGCUAAAGAAGAAAAAGCAUGCAUACCUUGCCUAGAGAUUUAAAACUCUACAUUUGCGGUGAGGAUAUCACUUUAAACUCAGUUACGGGCUGCAGAUUCUAGAGUAAAUCUGUGUAGCAGAUUGGUAGAAUUGCAAUAUUUCCCAGGCCAAAUAAAUUUACUGUUAUCAAGAA
This is an RNA transcript of Onychostruthus taczanowskii (white-rumped snowfinch), 1884 nucleotides long. It is a transcript of the gene named RNA binding motif protein X-linked, with no coding region annotated. The record is from RefSeq and is a predicted model, not a curated record. The transcript has 10 exons. Lineage: Eukaryota; Metazoa; Chordata; Aves; Passeriformes; Passeridae.